GACGAACGCUGGCGGCGUGCCUAAUACAUGCAAGUAGAACGCACAGUUUAUACCGUAGCUUGCUACACCAUAGACUGUGAGUUGCGAACGGGUGAGUAACGCGUAGGUAACCUGCCUGGUAGCGGGGGAUAACUAUUGGAAACGAUAGCUAAUACCGCAUAAUAUUAAUUAUUGCAUGAUAAUUAAUUGAAAGGUGCAAUUGCACCACUACCAGAUGGACCUGCGUUGUAUUAGCUAGUAGGUGAGGUAACGGCUCACCUAGGCGACGAUACAUAGCCGACCUGCGAGGGUGAUCGGCCACACUGGGACUGAGACACGGCCCAGACUCCUACGGGAGGCAGCAGUAGGGAAUCUUCGGCAAUGGACGAAAGUCUGACCGAGCAACGCCGCGUGAGUGAAGAAGGUUUUCGGAUCGUAAAGCUCGGUUGUAAGAGAAGAACGGGUGUGAGAGUGGAAAGUUCACACUGUGACGGUAUCUUACCAGAAAGGGACGGCUAACUACGUG
This 505-nucleotide ribosomal RNA is filed under the name uncultured bacterium. RNAcentral's name for it is "partial 16S ribosomal RNA". It matches the Rfam family "Bacterial small subunit ribosomal RNA", at positions 28 to 507 of the family's 1533-position model. The record is from RNAcentral.